UCCCGUAACGAGCGCAACCCUUGUCCCUAUUUGCCAGCGAUUCGGUCGGGAACUCUAGGGAGACUGCCGGUGACAAACCGGAGGAAGGUGGGGACGACGUCAAGUCAUCAUGGCCCUUACGGGUAGGGCUACACACGUGCUACAAUGGCCGGUACAAAGGGUUGCGAAAGCGCGAGCUGAAGCGAAUCCCGAAAAGCCGGUCUCAGUCCGGAUCGGAGUCUGCAACUCGACUCCGCGAAGUCGGAAUCGCUAGUAAUCGUGCAUCAGAAUGGCACGGUGAAUACGUUCCCGGGCCUUGUACACACCGCCCGUCACACCAUGGAAGUGGACUGCACCAGAAGUGGUUAGCUUAACCCUCGGGAGAGCGAUCACCACGGUGUGGUUCAUGACUGGGGUGAAGUCGUAACAAGGUAGCCGUAGGGGAACCUGCGGCUGGAUCACCUCCUUAAACGA
This is a ribosomal RNA of 453 nucleotides. It matches the Rfam family "Bacterial small subunit ribosomal RNA", at positions 1085 to 1533 of the family's 1533-position model.